AAUGAACGCUGGCGGCAUGCCUAACACAUGCAAGUCGAACGAGACCUUCGGGUCUAGUGGCGCACGGGUGCGUAACGCGUGGGAAUCUGCCCCUUGGUUCGGAAUAACUCAGAGAAAUUUGAGCUAAUACCGGAUAAUGACGUAAGUCCAAAGAUUUAUCGCCUAGGGAUGAGCCCGCGUAGGAUUAGCUAGUUGGUGGGGUAAAAGCCUACCAAGGCGACGAUCCUUAGCUGGUCGAGAGGAUGAUCAGCCACACUGGGACUGAGACACGGCCCAGACUCCUACGGGAGGCAGCAGUGGGGAAUAUUGGACAAAUGGGCGAAAGCCUGAUCCAGCAAUGCCGCGUGAGUGAUGAAGGCCUUAGGGUUGU
Molecule: ribosomal RNA, 370 nt
Filed under: uncultured bacterium
Lineage: Bacteria
Description: bacterial SSU rRNA
Rfam family: Bacterial small subunit ribosomal RNA
Source: RNAcentral